Long non-coding RNA from Acanthopagrus latus (yellowfin seabream), 2738 nucleotides. RefSeq lists it as uncharacterized. Lineage: Eukaryota; Metazoa; Chordata; Actinopteri; Spariformes; Sparidae. The transcript has 2 exons. The record is from RefSeq and is a predicted model, not a curated record.
GGUUUUUCCUGGUCACCGGGUCCGGUGUCCGUCUCCUCAUCAGGCCCCGGGUCAUCCCCCUCUACCUGCUUGUCGGUGGAACCGUGACUUUUGACAGAUGACGAAACCCAGGUGUCCUCGUACUCCGCCCCCAGGGAGCUUCUCCUGUAAGGCACCGGGGCAGGGGCACCAAACCCGAAAAAAAAGUUUCUCCCACCUUGGAAUGCGGAAAGGCUGUUUCCUGCCCUGCCAGUUAAGAAGCUUGUUAUCAGACCAGCCGUCUUCACUGCUCAAGGAGAAAUUUCUUGGAAUCAAUUAUCGACUCUGUUUUUGCUGUCCGCCCUUGUAACCAGGAAGGGAGCAAUCAUCGGCCAGUUUAUGAGACCUAAAAGGCCUGCAGAUGCACAGUCAAAACAGUUCCUGCUGUUCAUACUAUCAGGGGACAUUUUUCAUCUGAAUCCAUCUGAUGUUUGUUCCUCCAACAGUUUUGUUUGUACAAAUUUAUUCCUUUGAGUUUAGUUGCAGAGGAACAAAUGGAAAUACAUUUACUCAGCUGCGGUACACACGUAGUGCGGUACUUUUUAUUUAUUUAUUCAUUUUAUUUUUUUAUCUCAAAUGUGCUUACCCAUUACUCUGCAGGUUGAGAUUUUGAGCCCGUUAUGCACAAUAUAAUCAUUGUUGAGUAAAAACCCAAUGCCAACUUUUUAAGCUUCAUAAAAUGGCAUGUUAGAGCUGCUGCCAGCAUUUUUCCUUUUUGAUCAUCCACUACAAGAGGGAUUCAGCACCCUUUUUCAAGUUAUAUAUGUGAGUCGAGUGCAUUGUGUCUUAUUUGAAUGAAUUAGGUUAACAAUACCAACAGCUUAGCAUAAAAUUACAAAGUACGAGUAAAGGGACAGAACUAGGUUCAGUAGGAGGUGUAAAGAAUUGCAACAUCGGAAAUGUGGACGCUGACAUGGGAUAGUUCAACUCACUUUGAAAUAAAGUAAUUAAAAGAUGGAUGAAUUAAAUUAGAUAAAACGUUGGUGCAAGUAUGGCAUCAAGCGAAGGAUAUUUGAAUUACUUUUAAAGCCUUAAUAGUUAUGAAAUUGAAAUCACAACAUUCUAAAGGGCUGGCAGAUACCUGGAAAAGUAAAAUUAGUGUGCUAUAUAAAUAAACCUGGCUUUCAAUACUUGAGUACCUUUUAGUCCUUACUCCUGUGUAGUUUAGAAUUGAUAUACAUUUAUAACCUUUAAUCGAGUAAGUCUAACUACUGUCGUUCUGCUAAUUCUUCCACAUCUGUUCAGUUGUAGCCUCUAUCAAUUUGAAAUGUUCAGCAGCUCUUAAAAAUCACGGCACAAACGAGAGGCUUUGAAAGUCUAAACUCAUUAAAGCAAAUGGAGUGUGGGAAGUGUCAGCAGCUCAGAUGCCACAGCUGCUCAAAUAUUUCAGCGCUGGGCCCUGGGCCCGUCUGUCAAAGCUGAGCUGCUGCUCAGUUCGUAUAGGGUCAGACUUACUGCAGGCUUCACUUGGAAGAUCUUUCAGUAAUGCGUUCGUGGUUGACAAGAUAAGGGGCUAUAAAGCAAUCUCCCUCUGGACUUGAAGGAAAUCAGCAAAGUGACAGAGCUGAAGAAAGUGGAAAUGUAAUAUUUAAAUUCCACAACAUGUUUAUGCAACAUUGAAGCAAACAGGCUUGCCUUCCAAGAGAAACUGCAACAAGUAAAGCAUAUCAGAAUAAAUGCAUUAGUAGUAAAUUUAUUGAAAAAGAUACAACCAAUUAGAUGGAUGGUUCACGAUCCAGAAAUAUGUAACAGAACAGAAUGGAAGUGCAUUUUUAUAACCUUUUUUUUUUUUCAUUUAUACCUUUCAAGACUUUGCACAACAGUCACUGCUUUACUAACAACAUUUAAAAAGACGGGUUGGCUUCUGUCGGCAAAUUCAUGAAACAAAAUUAAAAACAGCCUAACUACAGUAACUACGAUUAGAAAACUGGAGUUAAAAUUAAACAUAAAAAACUUAAAACAUUCUCUUAUUUUACAAACUAUGUUCACUUCAGUAAUAAAAAUGAAAACAAAAGUAAAAACCUUUGUCAGCACCAUUUUCUUGUUUGUUUUCUAACUCAAUUUCAGUUAAAUCAAUUCUUCAACAACUGUGGCAAAAUACCUGACUCAUGACAAUCCCCUUAAACAUGCUUAGUAAAAAGACCAGCCAAUUUAUUCAGACUCGAAACACCUCAUUUUUGAGGAAUGGUACAGCAUCUUUGUGUCAUACAAUCUAUACUCACUGGUGUAGCAGAUUAAACAAACAGUCCAAUUUUUGCUCAGGUUCUUUGUCUUUCACAUCAUUUCAGUUAAUUAAUCAAUUUAUGAGCUAUGGUGGCAAAUGUUGGACAUGUCUGUUCAAACACUGCAACAAAGAUGAAGUGACUCAAAGAAGUGGCAUAAACAUAAUUCAGUAUUUAUCAGCUAGUUUUGCUGGAAUGGUUGAUGAUUAAUGAUCACAAAGGUCAACACAUUACACCCAGCUGUAUGCUGAGGUUGUCUUUGCAAAAGAUACCCUCAUCCCGAUCUUAAAAUUCCUUGAUCAUGACUCUUUAAGAAAAGCCAUAGCAAUAUCAAUUAAUCGUUAAAAAAAAAAGACAAAAUGCGCAGUUUUCCUUCCCACUAAAUUUAUCUAUGAAAUGUAAAGACUGUUCGUAUUGUCCCUGUGAAGUGUGUGCUCUUGCUGCCCCUGCUGUUCAAGUUACACAAGGUGGAAUAAAGGAGCAGCGAGAUAUCCAUGA